GGAUGGAUCAUGUAACCCAAUCGUCUGGUUGUGUCCGCCUAGAGGAAUGAUGAUGAUGAUGACGUCGAUGAUUGGUGUGUGGCUCCGGCAACGGGACCCGCCCGGCAUGGAUGAUAUAAAUUCAUUCAUUACAUUGCUCUGGGAGCACGGAUUAACCAAUAGACACAAACACCUCUUGCACUUGUUACCUUCGAUGGAUUGCAGCAGCACACCGUUGUUGCAGUCCAUUCGUAUCCCUCAUAUCAUAAACUCCUGUUUACAUUUCUAUGACUCUAUUCUUUCUUCUUCUUAGCCUCUGGCUCUGAAGACGUAGAAAAUCCAUAACCAAAACAACUUUCAACAACGGAUGUCUUGGUUCCCGCAUCGAUGAAGAACGCCGCGAACUGCGAUACUUAAUGUGAAACGCAACACAGCGCGAAUCAUCAAGGUUUCGAACGCACAUUGCGCUGUUGAAGUCUUCUUCGACAGCAUGCCUGUUUGAGAAUCGUUUACAACCUCAAUCUCAUUCUUCCUGUCCCCCCUCAGGGACACGAUCGAUGAGACUGGACGCUGAGCGCCCUACCCGCUUUUCACAAAGAGUGUAGGCCGCUUGAAAUGGAGAUCCCUAUCUGGAGUGUGAUUGCAUCUCGAUGGAUGCAUCUGUGCUGUGUUGUUGAUCAGCCUCGUGUUGUUCAUCUUCUUCACAGUGCAAUCAUGGAGCGAAUCACACUCUCUACCAAAGGAUAGGCUCGAAGAAUUCGAUAAUGGAAUUCAAUCCUAGAGUUCAUUCUCUAAGCCUCUUAUCAAAUCGCGAUCUCAAAUCAAGCAAGACCACCCGCUGAACUUAAGCAUAUCAAUAAGCGGAGGAAAAGAAACUAACAAGGAAGCCCUCAGUAACGGCGAGUGAAGCGGGCUAAGCUCAAGUUUCAAAUCUGCGUCUCUGCGGAGGCGUCGAAUUGUAGUCUAGAGGGGCGUCUUGUGUGGUGUGCCGAGCAUAAGUGUCCUCGAACGGACUGUCAGAGAGGGUGUGAACCCCGUCUUUGGCUCGGAUUGCAUCGCCGAUCAAGAGACGUUUCCCACGAGUCGGGUUGUUUGGGAAUACAGCCUUAAUUGGGUGGUAGAUGCCAUCUAAAGCUAACUUAUCUGCGGGAGACCGAUAGCGAACAAGUAGCGUGAGCGAAAGAUGAAAAGCACUCUGGAGAGAGAGUAAAAAGGACCUGAAAUUGUUGAAAGGGAAGGGAUUGGAAUCAGUCGUUACCCUACGGGGAUUCGCUGGUUGCCUGUGUGCCUGGUUGCGUGCUCGAGCCCCUAAAGCCGACGCGUGGCCAGUCGCAUGCAGGGGGCCGGUUACUUCUCCGUGCGGGUAGGCCAAUAUCAGCUAGUAUGGACAUGGCGCCGGACAAGACUGUCAGGAAGGUAGGGACUGCGCUGUGUACGCAGCCGGUUCUGUUAUAGCCUGGUGGGGAUCCGGUGCCGCUGGCUGAGGAAAACCCUGGUGUGCCAUGCACGCGCCUCGGCGAGAUGCGCUGUCGGACGGCUGUUACCUUACAAAGGUGGCGGUUGGUGCCGGUGGUAGCGUCGUCGGCGUGCAAAGGAUAUUGGCGAAUUGGUUUCCAUCCACCCGUCUUGAAACACGGACCAAGGAGUCCGCCGUCUACGCGAGUAUUUGGGCGGCAAACCCGAAUGCGCAAUGAAAGUGAAGGCGUCAGUGGGCGCUGAGAUGGGACGGCCCGCGCGAAGCGAGCCCGCACCACCGGCCGAUCUGGACCCUUGUGGUGAAAGAUUUGAGCAAGAGCGUAGCCCGUGGGACCCGAAAGAUGGUGAACUUUGCCUGAGUAGGUUGAAGUCAGUGGAAACACUGAUGGAGGACCGUCGAGAUACUGACGUGCAAAUCGUUCUUCUGACUUGGGUAAAGGGGCGAAAGACUAAUCGAACCAUCUAGUAGCUGGUUCCCUC
This 1935-nucleotide unclassified non-coding RNA is filed under the name uncultured fungus. RNAcentral describes it as "sequence contains 18S rRNA gene, ITS1, 5.8S rRNA gene, ITS2, 28S rRNA gene". The stretch from base 791 to 1935 matches the Rfam family "Eukaryotic large subunit ribosomal RNA", at positions 1 to 961 of the family's 3401-position model. Lineage: Eukaryota; Fungi. The record is from RNAcentral.